AUCUAUGGCCAUGCCACCCUGAACAAGUCCAAUCCCAUUUGAUCUUGGAAGCUAAGCAGAGUUGGGCCUGGUUAGUACUUGGAUGGGAGAUCACUUAGGAAGAUCAGGUGCUGUAGGCG
Molecule: ribosomal RNA, 119 nt
Filed under: Pteropus alecto (black flying fox)
Lineage: Eukaryota; Metazoa; Chordata; Mammalia; Chiroptera; Pteropodidae
Source: RNAcentral